AUUGAACGCUGGCGGCAGGCCUAACACAUGCAAGUCGAGCGGAUGAAGGGAGCUUGCUCCUGGAUUCAGCGGCGGACGGGUGAGUAAUGCCUAGGAAUCUGCCUGGUAGUGGGGGAUAACGUCCGGAAACGGGCGCUAAUACCGCAUACGUCCUGAGGGAGAAAGAGGGGGAUCUUCGGACCUCACGCUAUCAGAUGAGCCGAGGUCGGAUUAGCUAGUUGGUGGGGUAAAGGCCUACCAAGGCGACGAUCCGUAACUGGUCUGAGAGGAUGAUCAGUCACACUGGAACUGCGACACGGUCCAGACUCCUACGGGAGGCAGCAGUGGGGAAUAUUGGACAAUGGGCGAAAGCCUGAUCCAGCCAUGCCGCGUGUGUGAAGAAGGUCUUCGGAUUGUAAAGCACUUUAAGUUGGGAGGAAGGGCAGUAAGUUAAUACCUUGCUGUUUUGACGUUACCAACAGAAUAAGCACCGGCUAACUUCGUG
RNAcentral lists this ribosomal RNA (484 nucleotides) under uncultured bacterium. RNAcentral's name for it is "partial 16S ribosomal RNA". It matches the Rfam family "Bacterial small subunit ribosomal RNA", at positions 30 to 507 of the family's 1533-position model. The record is from RNAcentral.